CAACUUUCAACAACGGAUCUCUUGGCUCUCGCAUCGAUGAAGAACGCAGCGAAAUGCGAUACGUAAUGUGAAUUGCAGAAUUCAGUGAAUCAUCGAAUCUUUGAACGCACAUUGCACUCUCUGGUAUUCCGGAGAGUAUGCUUGUUUGAGUAUCAGU
Molecule: ribosomal RNA, 157 nt
Filed under: Entomortierella parvispora
Lineage: Eukaryota; Fungi; Mortierellomycota; Mortierellomycetes; Mortierellales; Mortierellaceae
Also listed under: 2 other names
Description: Mortierella parvispora 5.8S ribosomal RNA
Rfam family: 5.8S ribosomal RNA
About the family: 5.8S ribosomal RNA (5.8S rRNA) is a component of the large subunit of the eukaryotic ribosome. It is transcribed by RNA polymerase I as part of the 45S precursor that also contains 18S and 28S rRNA. Functionally, it is thought that 5.8S rRNA may be involved in ribosome translocation.
Source: RNAcentral